UAUAUUCUAUAAUAUACGUGUACUAUAUAUUUCGUAAAUUUUCCUCGAGAGGAAGUUUUGGAACAUAGCCUAAGACGCUAAUGCAGCCUUCCGAUUGGUUCAUUACUUAUGAAAGUUGCGCAAGCGUUGCCGCGUUCUGUGUGCGAGAGCCGAAUCAACGUCUCGGAAAAGUUUUGCGUGGUGAGGCCGACUUAAGAACAUGGAAUUAUUGGUUAGUGCGAUAACUCCGCCACGCGGCAAGCAUUGCUGCGUUCUGUGUGCAGAAGCCAUUAGGGUGCCGUCCCAUUGAACGGAAAUUGACAACGAAACGGAACGAACUACACGACUAACCUCUACUAAAAUCGAGGAAGAUAAAGACAGAGAGAAAGAGAGAGAGAGAGAGAGAGA
Acromyrmex echinatior (Panamanian leafcutter ant) is the source of this 387-nucleotide long non-coding RNA. The record is from RefSeq and is a predicted model, not a curated record. NCBI's taxonomy places the organism in Eukaryota, Metazoa, Arthropoda, Insecta, Hymenoptera, Formicidae.